RNAcentral lists this ribosomal RNA (755 nucleotides) under Staphylococcus sp. RNAcentral describes it as "bacterial SSU rRNA". It matches the Rfam family "Bacterial small subunit ribosomal RNA", at positions 53 to 791 of the family's 1533-position model. The record is from RNAcentral. Lineage: Bacteria; Bacillati; Bacillota; Bacilli; Caryophanales; Staphylococcaceae.
ACUGCAGUCGAGCGAACAGACAAGGAGCUUGCUCCUUUGACGUUAGCGGCGGACGGGUGAGUAACACGUGGGUAACCUACCUAUAAGACUGGGAUAACUUCGGGAAACCGGAGCUAAUACCGGAUAAUAUUUCGAACCGCAUGGUUCGAUAGUGAAAGAUGGUUUUGCUAUCACUUAUAGAUGGACCCGCGCCGUAUUAGCUAGUUGGUAAGGUAACGGCUUACCAAGGCGACGAUACGUAGCCGACCUGAGAGGGUGAUCGGCCACACUGGAACUGAGACACGGUCCAGACUCCUACGGGAGGCAGCAGUAGGGAAUCUUCCGCAAUGGGCGAAAGCCUGACGGAGCAACGCCGCGUGAGUGAUGAAGGUCUUCGGAUCGUAAAACUCUGUUAUUAGGGAAGAACAUACGUGUAAGUAACUAUGCACGUCUUGACGGUACCUAAUCAGAAAGCCACGGCUAACUACGUGCCAGCAGCCGCGGUAAUACGUAGGUGGCAAGCGUUAUCCGGAAUUAUUGGGCGUAAAGCGCGCGUAGGCGGUUUUUUAAGUCUGAUGUGAAAGCCCACGGCUCAACCGUGGAGGGUCAUUGGAAACUGGAAAACUUGAGUGCAGAAGAGGAAAGUGGAAUUCCAUGUGUAGCGGUGAAAUGCGCAGAGAUCUGGAGGAACACCAGUGGCGAAGGCGACUUUCUGGACUGUAACUGACUCUCAUGUGUGAUAGCGCGGGGGAUUAAUCAGGAUUUGAGAUCCUGGG